AGGACGAACGCUGGCGGCGUGCUUAACACAUGCAAGUCGAGCGGAAAGGCCCUUCGGGGUACUCGAGCGGCGAACGGGUGAGUAACACGUGAGCAAUCUGCCCCUAGCUUCGGGAUAGCUCCGGGAAACCGGAAUUAAUACCGAAUAUUACUACGGCCGACAUCGGCUGUGGUGGAAAGUUUUUCGGCUAGGGAUGAGCUCGCGGCCUAUCAGCUUGUUGGUGAGGUAACGCUCACCAAGGCGACGACGGGUA
Molecule: ribosomal RNA, 253 nt
Filed under: uncultured bacterium
Lineage: Bacteria
Description: partial small subunit ribosomal RNA
Rfam family: Bacterial small subunit ribosomal RNA
Source: RNAcentral